UCUUUGCAGUAAUGCAAGGCAUACGGCUCAGUAACACGUAGUCAACUUACCCUAUGGACGAGGAUAAUCUCGGGAAACUGAGCAUAAUACUCGAUAGAUCAUAAUGCCUGGAAUGGUUUAUGGUUGAAAUGAUUCGUCGCCAUAGGAUGGGACUGCGGCCUAUCAGCUUGUUGGUGAGGUAAUGGCCCACCAAGGCGAUUACAGGUACGGGCUCUGAGAGGAGAAGCCCGGAGAUGGGUACUGAGACAAGGACCCAGGCCCUAUGGGGCGCAGCAGGCGAGAAAACCUUGCAAUGUGCGAAAGCACGACAAGGUUAAUCCGAGUGAUUUCUGCUAAAGAAAUCUUUUGCAAGUCAUAAAACCACUAGUGAAUAAGGGGUGGGCAAGUUCUGGUGUCAGCCGCCGCGGUAAAACCAGCACCUCAAGUGGUCAGGAGGAUUAUUGGGCCUAAAGCAUCCGUAGCCGGCUCUGUAAGUUUUCGGUUAAAUCCAUGUGCUCAACGCAUGGGCUGCCGAAAAUACUGCAUAGCUAGGGAGUGGGAGAGGUAGACGGUACUCGGUAGGAAGGGGUAAAAUCCUUUGAUCUAUCGAUGACCACCUGUGGCGAAGGCGGUCUACCAGAACACGUUCGACGGUGAGGGAUGAAAGCUGGGGGAGCAAACCGGAUUAGAUACCCGGGUAGUCCCAGCUGUAAACGAUGCAGACUCGAUGAUGCAUUGGCAUAUAGCCAGUGCAGUGUCGCAGGGAAGCCGUUAAGUCUGCCGCCUGGGAAGUACGUACGCAAGUAUGAAACCUAAAGGAAUUGGCGGGGGA
This 811-nucleotide ribosomal RNA is filed under the name uncultured archaeon. Its description in RNAcentral is "bacterial SSU rRNA". It matches the Rfam family "Archaeal small subunit ribosomal RNA", at positions 58 to 875 of the family's 1478-position model. The record is from RNAcentral.